AACGAACGCUGGCGGCACGCUUCAAACAUGCCCUUCGAGCGGGAUCUUCGGAUCUAGCGGCGGACGGGUUAGCAACGCGGGGGAACGUACCCAGAUCUACGGAAUAGCCUCGGGAAACUGAGAGUAAUACCGUAUACGCCCUUCGGGGGAAAGAUUUAUCGGAUUUGGAUCGGCCCGCGCAAGAUUAGAUAGUUGGAGGGGAAAUGGCCUACCAAGUCUACGAUCUUUAGCUGGUUUGAGAGGAUGAUCAGCAACACUGGGACUGAGACACGGCCCAGACUCCUACGGGAGGCAGCAGUGGGGAAUCUUAGACAAUGGGCGCAAGCCUGAUCUAGCGAUGCUGCGUGAGUGAUGAAGGCCUUAGGGCCGUAAAGCUCUUUCGCCUGUGAAGAUAAUGACGGUAGCAGGUAAAGAAACCCCGGCUAACUCCGUGCCAGCAGCCGCGGUAAUACGGAGGGGGUUAGCGCUGUUCGAAAUUACUGGCCGUAAAGCCCACGUAGCCGGACUAGUCAGCCAGAGGUGAAAUCCCAGGGCUCAUCCCUGGAACUGCCUUUGAUACUGCUAGUCUUGAUUUCGAGAGAGGUAAGUGGAAUUCCGAGCGUAGAGGGUGAAAUUCGUAGAUAUUCGGAGGAACACCAGUGGCGAAGGCGGCUUACUGUCUCGAUACUGACGUUGAGGUGCGAAAAGUGUGGGGGAGCAAACAGGAUUAGAUACCCUGGUAGCCCACCCCGUAAACGAUGAAUGCCAGACGGCGGGGAGCAUGCUAUUCGGGGUCACACCUAACGGAAUAA
RNAcentral lists this ribosomal RNA (791 nucleotides) under uncultured bacterium. RNAcentral's name for it is "bacterial SSU rRNA". It matches the Rfam family "Bacterial small subunit ribosomal RNA", at positions 28 to 863 of the family's 1533-position model. The record is from RNAcentral.